UGGGGAAUAUUGCACAAUGGGCGCAAGCCUGAUGCAGCCAUGCCGCGUGUAUGAAGAAGGCCUUCGGGUUGUAAAGUACUUUCAGUCGGGAGGAAGAUGGUAAGGUUAAUAACCUUAUCAAUUGACGUUACCGACAGAAGAAGCACCGGCUAACUCCGUGCCAGCAGCCGCGGUAAUACGGAGGGUGCAAGCGUUAAUCGGAAUUACUGGGCGUAAAGCGCACGCAGGCGGUCUGUCAAGUCGGAUGUGAAAUCCCCGGGCUCAACCUGGGAACUGCAUUCGAAACUGGCAGGCUAGAGUCUUGUAGAGGGGGGUAGAAUUCCAGGUGUAGCGGUGAAAUGCGUAGAGAUCUGGAGGAAUACCGGUGGCGAAGGCGGCCCCCUGGACAAAGACUGACGCUCAGGUGCGAAAGCGUGGGGAGCAAACAGG
RNAcentral lists this ribosomal RNA (429 nucleotides) under Chloroflexota bacterium. RNAcentral's name for it is "Chloroflexi bacterium partial 16S ribosomal RNA". It matches the Rfam family "Bacterial small subunit ribosomal RNA", at positions 355 to 776 of the family's 1533-position model. Lineage: Bacteria; Bacillati; Chloroflexota. The record is from RNAcentral.